CCCUUAGAUGUUCUGGGCCGCACGCGCGCUACACUGUUCGACGCAGCGAGUCUUAACCUUGACCGAAAGGUUUGGGUAAUCUUCAGCAAAGUCGAACGUGAUGGGGAUCGAUCAUUGCAAUUAUUGAUCGUGAACGAGGAAUUCCUAGUAAGUGCAAGUCAUCAGCUUGCGCUGAUUACGUCCCUGCCCUUUGUACACACCGCCCGUCGCUACUACCGAUUGAAUGGUUUAGUGAGAUCUCUGGAUUGACGCUGGCUAGGGGGCGACCCUUGGCCAGACUGUUAGAAACUGCUCAAACUUGAUCAUUUAGAGGAAGUAAAAGUCGUAACA
Molecule: ribosomal RNA, 330 nt
Filed under: uncultured eukaryote
Lineage: Eukaryota
Description: partial 18S ribosomal RNA
Rfam family: Eukaryotic small subunit ribosomal RNA
Source: RNAcentral